RNAcentral lists this ribosomal RNA (253 nucleotides) under uncultured bacterium. RNAcentral's name for it is "partial 16S ribosomal RNA". It matches the Rfam family "Bacterial small subunit ribosomal RNA", at positions 524 to 776 of the family's 1533-position model. The record is from RNAcentral.
UACAGAGGUCUCAAGCGUUGUUCGGAUUCAUUGGGCGUAAAGGGUGCGUAGGCGGCGCGGUAAGUCGGGUGUGAAAUCUCGGAGCUUAACUCCGAAAUGGCAUUGAAUACUCUACGGCUCGAGGGUCGGAGGGGAGACUGGAAUUCUCGGUGUAGCAGUGAAAUGCGUAGAUAUCGAGAGGAACACCAGUGGCGAAGGCGAGUCUCUGGACGACACCUGACACUGAGGCACGAAAGCUAGGGGAGCAAACAGG